This 447-nucleotide long non-coding RNA is filed under the name Solanum tuberosum (potato). Its description in RNAcentral is "long non-coding RNA (STUB_LNC006818)". Lineage: Eukaryota; Viridiplantae; Streptophyta; Magnoliopsida; Solanales; Solanaceae. The record is from RNAcentral.
GAUUUUGAACUCAAGUGAAUUGAACUGUUUUGAAUAACAAAAUUCCUAAUUCAAACUCAAGAAUAUUUUUGAUCAAGCACCUGACCUAUCUCACCUACAAGUAUACAACAAAUAAAUAUUCUAAUUGGCCUUUUAUAACCGGUUUAUGAAUAGAUCCAAGUUCCAAAGUCACAAAGCUCUUUUCUCAUUGGCUGCCAACAACUAAUUUAAGUUCAAUGCGUCUUUCCGUCUCACCUGCUAACUCGUAGAAAGAAGCUUCUAUUCUAAAAACCAUAGCUUCUCACCUUUCUCAGAGUGAGAAGUUCCCUUCCAUUUACUAAAAUGUUUAAUGGUCUGUUUUUUUGUCUUUACAAAUAAGUAUAUAUAUGAGUUUCUUCAACUUUCUUGUCAAUUGAAAAAUCAUCAUAAUUUCACCUCUAAGAGCCAAAAUAUAUUCAAUCAAUUGGC